RNAcentral lists this ribosomal RNA (250 nucleotides) under uncultured bacterium. RNAcentral's name for it is "partial 16S ribosomal RNA". It matches the Rfam family "Bacterial small subunit ribosomal RNA", at positions 75 to 339 of the family's 1533-position model. The record is from RNAcentral.
UGAGUUUACUUAGUUAAGUGACAGUGGCGGACGAGCGAGUAACACGUAAGCAUCUACCCCGUACUCAGGGAUAACAUCAUGAAAGUGGUGCUAAUACCGGAUGGUCCCGAAAGGGUAAAGAUUUAUCGGUACGGGAGGAGCUUGCGGCUUAUCAGUUAGUUGGUGGGGUAAAGGCCUACCAAGACUAUGACGAGUAGCUGGUGUGAGAGCAUGACCAGCCGCGAUGGAACUGAGACACGGUCCAUACUCC